Long non-coding RNA from Xenia sp. Carnegie-2017, 2042 nucleotides. RefSeq lists it as uncharacterized. The record is from RefSeq and is a predicted model, not a curated record. The transcript is spliced from 5 exons. NCBI's taxonomy places the organism in Eukaryota, Metazoa, Cnidaria, Anthozoa, Malacalcyonacea, Xeniidae.
UGGCAUGCUUGGGCGAUAUAAAGGAUUCUGUGUUAGUGACAGUGUGAUGUUUCCUGUUUGUCUCGUCGAGUGAAUUCGAAAACGUUCAAUUGGGGACACAUGUCUCACGAAUACUAGCAAGUAUUCAGAUUCGAGCGAUAAUGAUACGUAUGUUGGCUCGAAGGUAUAUUCAAAAAAUUGAGCGUUCGGUUGCUCCAAGGUAAAACUUUUAUUGUUCAUUGCCUUCAACAAUUGUCAGCAGAAACGUCUACAUAAGGCCAAAGCAACAAUAAGGAUUAUGCUUCAAGUUUAAUGAAUGAAGACUGAAGAGUAUCAAAUCCAAGUACAAAGGAAUUAUGUUGGAAGGAUAUUUUUUUCAAGUGAUAAGCCCUUCCCAAAAUUGGAUGGAUGCUAAUGACACUGAAUCAGAACUGUACCUGGAGUCUCAGAAUUUACUAUUUUGGAUUAAGAAUACUGAUGAAGAAAAAUUGGUUGUGGGCACAGCAUUCGAAUCUUUGUAUUUAAAUCUUAUCAAGUACUAUCAAAGGGACUUGUGACUGAAGUUCAAUGAAUUUGUAUUACUGUGUCUGUGGGCUGUAUUUGGUUAACUUUAACUGUGUAUUUCAAAAAAAUUGCAAAAGAUGUUCAAAACUCAUAUGGAACUGAAAAUGGCAUAUGGUAGUUGUUGUUAUAGUUUGGUGGAUUUUUACUAACUCACAUGUUGUGAUCUAUGAAGGAUAAAGCUCCAAAAAACAUCAUAUGGGAGAAGCAGACCAUUGGUAACAGAUGUGGUAUCAUUUGGCUCGUUGCGUUCCAUCGGCUGACGAGAUUUUACUCUGACACCAUUGUGGAAAUGUUCAGACCAUCAUCCAACAAAAAAUUCAAACACCUCUGAAAACCUUCGAAUUCUAUUCCUGUGCUGCUUCCAACCUCAUUUCUCUACAAUUAAGGAAGAGACACAAUCAGCAUAACCUUUGAAUGAUAGUCACAUUGCUUGAGGUUGAAUUUUAAAAUUUGUUUAUACCUGGAUCAAACUAAAAUCGAUUAUUUCAGCUGAAGUACAACAAAAUAUUGUAUAAGCACCAUAUUUUGCACUAUGACCCAUGCUGUCAUGUCGUGCGUCACCAGAAAUGGUAAUUGAUUCCAGAGCCUGUAAUCUAUCAAGAAUCUUUCUUUGAUAGUCUUUCCAGUGAAGAAAGAUUGUCGGAAGCACCAUUUUCUUAAGUAAGAAUAAGAAAUACUAUCAAAUUCUUCGAACAAAGAACGGUCCAAGUAUUUUUAAUGCAAAAGAACGUACCACUUGGUGUCUAUAGAAAGACUCAUUAGAUAUUGUAGCAAGCCCCAUGUGUCGAAACAUGUUGAUCACUUUGGUGGAAGAUCCUCCAGAAACAAGUAUGGCAAAACUUAAAAGGAAGUCUCCUGCAUUUACUUUUGUGUUUGGCAAAAGUGGCUGACUUUUCCAGAUGUUAUUCCUUUUAUCGCACGCGGGGUUUCCACAGGUUGUUUUGACAACAACUAGUGUACCAUCUGUUACCAUUUCUACGAGCGGGUUAUCUGCCUUGCAAACAUGGCAAAAUUUAAACAGUAACAUCAACUGGGAUUGGAAAACAAUGUAUUUUUCUUCGUUCCGUAUGUUUUCUCUAGGAUUCCUAAACGAAGAUAGAGUCAUACGGGUGCCAUCAAGACAUAGAAUGAUUCACAAUUAGAUAGAAUUUACAAACAAGUCAAAUAUUUUACCUUCUGCAUUCAUCUUCUAAUUCAUCAAAUUCCGAUCUUCCCGAUUCAGCCUCGUCUUCUAUUUUAAAAUCGUCGUCCGCAACCGUGUCUAUUUCAACUUCGCUGUCUUCAGACUCUUCAUUUACGUCGUUGCCUGCCGUCAUUUCAGAUUCAGCUCUGUGCUGAAUGACCUCUUCGUCAUUCAGUAUAUUGCACUGAACACCUACAUAAUAAUAAAAAAUCGAACAAGUUAAUUUAAAAAAGUUUCAUAAAAUUAUCAUUUAACAUAAAAUGUCUUCUUUUAAUUCUAUUGCGUGAGUUUAGCAAUACAGUUAUAAUAACCGGCA